RNAcentral lists this microRNA precursor (136 nucleotides) under Gossypium arboreum. RNAcentral's name for it is "MIR7502 microRNA precursor family". It matches the Rfam family "MIR7502 microRNA precursor family". Lineage: Eukaryota; Viridiplantae; Streptophyta; Magnoliopsida; Malvales; Malvaceae. The record is from Rfam by way of RNAcentral.
UGUUAAAAAAUUCAUCUAAUUUUAUUAUUAAAAUUGACAUGAUUAACCAAACAAUUACAUGUAAUAUGCUAUAUGUACCUUAUGCUGAUGGACAUAAACUAGCUUUUAAUAGUAAAAAUGAAUGAAAAUCUUAACA